RNAcentral lists this ribosomal RNA (253 nucleotides) under uncultured bacterium. Its description in RNAcentral is "partial 16S ribosomal RNA". It matches the Rfam family "Archaeal small subunit ribosomal RNA", at positions 474 to 727 of the family's 1478-position model. The record is from RNAcentral.
UACCAGCACCCCGAGUGGGCGGGACGUUUAUUGGGCCUAAAGCAUCCGUAGCCGGUUCUACAAGUCUUCCGUUAAAUCCACCUGCUCAACAGAUGGGCUGCGGAAGAUACUAUGGAGCUAGGAGGCGGGAGAGGCAAGCGGUACUCGAUGGGUAGGGGUAAAAUCCGUUGAUCCAUUGAAGACCACCAGUGGCGAAGGCGGCUUGCCAGAACGCGAUCGACGGUGAGGGAUGAAAGCUGGGGGAGCAAACCGG